Molecule: ribosomal RNA, 560 nt
Filed under: uncultured bacterium
Lineage: Bacteria
Description: bacterial SSU rRNA
Rfam family: Bacterial small subunit ribosomal RNA
Source: RNAcentral
GCGCACGGGUGAGUAACACGUGAAUUAUCUACCUCCGAGUGGGGAAUAACUGAGAGAAAUCUUAGCUAAUUACCGCAUAAUACCUACGGGUCAAAGCAGCAAUGCGUUUGGAGAGGAGUUCGCGGCCGAUUAGCUAGUUGGCGGGGUAAUGGCCCACCAAGGCGAUGAUCGGUAUCCGGCCUGAGAGGGCGCACGGACACACUGGAACUGAAACACGGUCCAGACUCCUACGGGAGGCAGCAGUGGGGAAUUUUGCGCAAUGGGGGAAACCCUGACGCAGCAACGCCGCGUGGAGGAUGAAGUAUCUUGGUACGUAAACUCCUUUCGAUAGGGAAGAUAAUGACGGUACCUAUAGAAGAAGCCCCGGCUAACUUCGUGCCAGCAGCCGCGGUAAUACGAGGGGGGCAAGCGUUGUUCGGAAUUAUUGGGCGUAAAGGGUGCGUAGGCGGUUUGAGUAAGUCUCGUGUGGAAAUCUCUGGGCUCAACCCAGAGUCUGCACGGGAAACUGUCGGGCUUGAGUAUGGGAGAGGUGAGUGGAAUUUCCGGUGUAGCGGUGAAAU